RNAcentral lists this ribosomal RNA (450 nucleotides) under uncultured bacterium. RNAcentral describes it as "partial 16S ribosomal RNA". It matches the Rfam family "Bacterial small subunit ribosomal RNA", at positions 354 to 796 of the family's 1533-position model. The record is from RNAcentral.
GUGGGGAAUUUUGGACAAUGGGCGCAAGCCUGAUCCAGCAAUGCCGCGUGCAGGAAGAAGGCCUUCGGGUUGUAAACUGCUUUUGUACGGAACGAAAAGGCUCUGGUUAAUACCUGGGGCUCAUGACGGUACCGUAAGAAUAAGCACCGGCUAACUACGUGCCAGCAGCCGCGGUAAUACGUAGGGUGCAAGCGUUAAUCGGAAUUACUGGGCGUAAAGCGUGCGCAGGCGGUUUUGUAAGACAGACGUGAAAUCCCCGGGCUCAACCUGGGAAUGGCGUUUGUGACUGCAAAGCUGGAGUGCGGCAGAGGGGGAUGGAAUUCCACGUGUAGCAGUGAAAUGCGUAGAGAUGUGGAGGAACACCGAUGGCGAAGGCAGCCCCCUGGGAUGACACUGACGCUCAUGUACGAAAGCGUGGGUAGCAAACAGGAUUAGAUACCCUAGUAGUCC